AGCAAGAGGCUCGUGCACAACAGAGUUUGUGGACACCGAAACUGGCUUCCCUUCUAAUUGCAGCAUCAUGCUGCCCAGUAUUUCAGUCAACAACUUCUUGAACUCUUCCUCUUUAACCAUCUUCCCAUCAUCGGCAUCCAACAUCUUACAGACUUCUUGUAUGACCUUAUCCAUCUGAUCAACAGCACCAAUGGGAGGUAAACCAGCUGAUGGUGCAAGAACAUCAAGUGCAACUCGUAGGUAUUCCUUUGACAUUUUCCCAUUGCGAUCUCUGGGUAUAGUCUUUAAGGCAGAGUCCAGCGUCUUAUCCAAUUCAAACUUGUUAGACAAUAGUCUUUUAAUUCCACUUCCAUCAAAUGUAUUCUCGCUGUGAGCAACAAUGACUGGCUGCUCCUUGAGACGUUGAGCAGCACUCUCUGCAACUUUCUUAAAUUCAGCCAAAAAUGUUUCUUGUGUAACAGGUUGCUCGUUAGUUGCUCCAAUGCAGGAUUCAACUACUGGCUCCACAACAUUACUCAUUACCCAUGAGUCUGAUGCAGGAGGCAUCCCUUGAUCAACCGUGAGCUUCUCAAAAGCCUUGAUGAUGUAAUCUUUGAGGGAUCCAUCAGGCAAUUCUAACUCAGAGUACAGGGAAAUCAUCUCUGGUUCGAAUGCAGGACUUUUAACGAACUCAAGAAGAUCUUCACCAUCCAUACGAAGGAGUACAAUAGGAUCUCGCUUUAGACCAGCAGCCAUUCCUAGUAAAAUAUCUGAAAGAACUUCUUUAAACUCAGUCUUGCUUACUUUCUCUUGCUUUCCAUGUGUGAAUUCUUGAAGAACCUCAGAGUAGAUAUGAUCAGAUUCAGGGGAAGAACCUUGAGGAGGUAAACCAAGGGCAACACCAAUAUCAGCAACAGCAGGUUGUAACUCCUUAACUGAAAGUUUACCGUCUUUGUCUAUGUCAAGUUCUUCAAACUUAUGAUCUACAAAGUUACUAAACACAGCCUCAUUUCCAACUAACUUCAUUAUAUCUGAACCGUCCAUCACCUGACUCUCACUACUUUUCAACUUCAUCAAUUCAUUUUUCUCCAUUUUUAAUUUAAUUCCUUGUCAACACAACUCACUUUCUCCUCGUGACCAACUUUCUUUUUCUUU
This 1134-nucleotide unclassified non-coding RNA is filed under the name Hevea brasiliensis (rubber tree). The record is from RNAcentral. Lineage: Eukaryota; Viridiplantae; Streptophyta; Magnoliopsida; Malpighiales; Euphorbiaceae.